Molecule: ribosomal RNA, 497 nt
Filed under: uncultured bacterium
Lineage: Bacteria
Description: partial 16S ribosomal RNA
Rfam family: Bacterial small subunit ribosomal RNA
Source: RNAcentral
GAUGAACGCUGGCGGCGUGCCUAAUACAUGCAAGUCGAGCUAACGGACGAGAAGCGUGCUUCUCUGAUGUUAGCGGCGUAAGGGUGAUGAACACGUGGAUAGCCUACCUAUAAGACUGGGAUAACUUCGGGAAACCGGAUCUAAUACGGGAUUAUAUUUUGAAUCACAUGUAUCAAAAGUGAAAGACGGUUUUGCUUUCACUUAGAGAUUUGGCCGCGCUGCAGUAGCGAGUUGGUAAGGUAACGGCUUACCAAGGCAAGGUUGCAUACCCGACCUGCGAGGGUGGUCGGCCACACUGGAACUGAGACACGGCCCAGAGUCCUACGGGAGGCAGCAGUAGGGAAUCUUCAGGAAUGGGCGAGAGACUGACGGAGCAAGGCCGCGUGAGUGAUGCAGGUAUUCGGAUCGUAAAACUAUGUUAUUCGGGAAGAAAAUAUGUGUAAGUAAGUGUGCAAAUAUUGACGGUACCUAAUCAGAAAGCCACGGCUAACUACGUG